Molecule: non-coding RNA, 94 nt
Organism: Mycena metata
Lineage: Eukaryota; Fungi; Basidiomycota; Agaricomycetes; Agaricales; Mycenaceae
Source: the annotation of a GenBank genome assembly
GGCCAGGUGGCGGAAUGGUAACACGCGGGAGACGAAUACAGACUCCUAUAACGUUUCGACUCGCAAGGUCUCCGUUCGAUUCGGGGUCUGGCCU